This is a long non-coding RNA of Perca fluviatilis (European perch), 1634 nucleotides long. RefSeq lists it as uncharacterized. The record is from RefSeq and is a predicted model, not a curated record. Lineage: Eukaryota; Metazoa; Chordata; Actinopteri; Perciformes; Percidae. The transcript is spliced from 3 exons.
UCCAGCCAUCAUUAAUGCUUUUGAAUACACCUGUGCUUUUCCUACUAUGACAUGUCAACAUGUCUGUCGGGCCCGGGCCCAGCCAUCCAUGCCAGCCACUACGUCAGCAAUUGUCGGACCAGUUAGUAUACGGUGGCUGAGAAGCAAAACUAGCUUGCAUCACAUAACUGUAGAAGUAACAUUAGUUCAAGUUCGUUUCGGAUUUAAGAUGUAAAGUUUUAAUUUUAUUUUUUGGGGCUUUUCCCUUUCUAUUGAAAGUGGAUAGACAUGAAAGGGGAAGAGAGAUGGGGGAUGACACACAGCAAAGGGCAGCAGGUCAGACUGACUGCAGGACUCCGCCAACAUGGGGGGGAACGCUCUGAGCUAGAGGCCGCCCCUGGGUUUAAGAUGUAAAGUUAAUGAAAGAAAGGAGGAUGUUCUUCUUCAUCAAAUGAUGAGCAGCUUUUGGUUAUACCUGGCUUUUAUCCUCCGUUGUUUCCUGACCCCUGCACUGGCUACUGGUGAUGGUUUUACAGUCAAACUAAAUGCUUCAAAUAUCAGUGGAUGCCCUGGCGUCCGCAGCAGGACCAUGAGGCUGUCAUGUCCCUGUAACUCAUUGAAGUAAGGGCGAAUCUUGACCUCGUACUCCGUACUGCUAUACAGAUCUACCAAGAUGAUGCUGUGGUCAGACGUGGCCUCCACAUCCUGGACCAACCAGGAGCUGCCGAUAGUCCGGUAAAAUAUACGAUAACCCUGAACGUACCGGGACUGAAAGGCGACCUGAGAAAAGUUGGCAAGGCAAGAAGAAGAAGAAACAGAGUUUCACAUUUACAUCAGUAAUGACAAGCAGAACCAGCUGUGUCUGUACUUCAAGCUAAUCUGUUUGUGUCACGUAAUGUUUGGGGGUUUUGAAGUUAAUUCUUGGAGAAUAGCGUGUCCUCCGCACGCUGCAAGCCGACAUUGAGUAAGUAGACUUUUUGAUGAGCCGAGUAUUCAACUCACAGUCCAAGAAAUCCUGGCGCUGGUAGGAGACAGAACCACAGGCUUCUGCAGGUAGACAGACACCUCUCCUAACUCCCUCUGCACCUGUCUGUGGUCCACACCUUGUUCUGUAGGACUUCCAUCUGACACAACAAAAAAAAUCAGUCAGUCCAAGCCACAAUAACAGCCGGAUAGCAAUUAUUCAGAAAAAAAAAAAAAAAAACGAAGCUUUUUGAUGAAAUUCAGCAGCGCUCAAGGUAAAAGAGAAUCACACUGGGAAAGCAAAUUAGUUUUGAGACUGCACAUGAAAAGCAAAGUUUUUUUAAACCUCAUUAUCUUGGUGCCAGCCUCAGUAUCUCUAAUGUCUUUCUUCAAAAAUAUAAACUAAAAGAUUGUAAAGUAGGACUUAUAUUACGCAAGAGUAUAAUCAGAAAAAUAUGAGUUUUUGUUUCUAUAACUCACCCUGCGUCCUGACAGGCUCGGAGAUGGGGCUGGGGUCACUGAGGCCAUAAGAGUUGACUGCUCGGACGAUGAAGAGAUAAACAGUGUUGGGGAAGAGUCCGACCACUGUGUGCCUCUCAUGCUUCACGUGGUCCGCCACCGUUUGCCAGGUGCUGCCCACUGAUUGGCUGAAGGGAAAGAAACAAGACAAUUAAAGCAUUUCUUAAAAUCUC